This 510-nucleotide ribosomal RNA is filed under the name uncultured bacterium. Its description in RNAcentral is "partial 16S ribosomal RNA". It matches the Rfam family "Bacterial small subunit ribosomal RNA", at positions 28 to 507 of the family's 1533-position model. The record is from RNAcentral.
GACGAACGCUGGCGGCGUGCUUAACACAUGCAAGUCGAACGAAGAGCGAUGGAAGCUUGCUUCUAUCAAUCUUAGUGGCGAACGGGUGAGUAACGCGUAAUCAACCUGCCCUUCAGAGGGGGACAACAGUUGGAAACGACUGCUAAUACCGCAUACGAUCUAAUCUCGGCAUCGAGGAUAGAUGAAAGGUGGCCUCUACAUGUAAGCUAUCACUGAAGGAGGGGAUUGCGUCUGAUUAGCUAGUUGGAGGGGUAACGGCCCACCAAGGCGAUGAUCAGUAGCCGGUCUGAGAGGAUGAACGGCCACAUUGGGACUGAGACACGGCCCAGACUCCUACGGGAGGCAGCAGUGGGGAAUCUUCCGCAAUGGACGAAAGUCUGACGGAGCAACGCCGCGUGAGUGAUGGCGGCCUUCGGGUUGUAAAGCUCUGUUAAUCGGGACGAAAGGCCUUCUUGCGAAUAGUGAGAAGGAUUGACGGUACCGGAAGAGAAAGCCACGGCUAACUACGUG